GUGCUCGCUUCGGCAGCACAUAUACUAAAAUUGGAACGAUACAGAGAAGAUUAGCAGAAUGAAUACAACAGUGAGUAUAAUUAACUGUGGCUUAUGAUUUUUUU
Ochotona princeps (American pika) is the source of this 104-nucleotide small nuclear RNA. Lineage: Eukaryota; Metazoa; Chordata; Mammalia; Lagomorpha; Ochotonidae. The record is from RefSeq and is a predicted model, not a curated record.